This 447-nucleotide ribosomal RNA is filed under the name uncultured bacterium. RNAcentral's name for it is "partial 16S ribosomal RNA". It matches the Rfam family "Bacterial small subunit ribosomal RNA", at positions 331 to 792 of the family's 1533-position model. The record is from RNAcentral.
CCAGACUCCUACGGGAGGCAGCAGUGGGGAAUAUUGGACAAUUGGGGGAACCCUGAUCCAGCGACGCCGCGUGAGUGAAGAAGUAUUUCGGUAUGUAAAGCUCUAUCAGCAGGGAAGAAAGAAAUGACGGUACCUGACUAAGAAGCCCCGGCUAACUACGUGCCAGCAGCCGCGGUAAUACGUAGGGGGCAAGCGUUAUCCGGAUUUACUGGGUGUAAAGGGAGCGUAGACGGCGAUGCAAGUCUGAAGUGAAAGGCGGGGGCCCAACCCCCGGACUGCUUUGGAAACUGUAUGGCUGGAGUGCAGGAGAGGUAAGUGGAAUUCCUAGUGUAGCGGUGAAAUGCGUAGAUAUUAGGAGGAACACCAGUGGCGAAGGCGGCUUACUGGACUGUAACUGACGUUGAGGCUCGAAAGCGUGGGGGGCAAACAGGAUUAGAUACCCCAGUA